GGAUGUGAGGGUAAUCUGGCUGUGACAGCUGUCAACCCAUUGAUUGCCAGGGUUGAUCUGACUAAUUAGGCAGGUGUCUCCUUCCUUCCUCCCUCACCGCUCCAUGUGUGUCCCUUCUGAAGUUGCAUGCUUGGUUGAAGAGAAUGACCUUCCCUGAAUAGACACAGACUGGUUUUUGGUGGAGAGUAUAUAUAAGUGCGUAGUUGCACUCCUGCCUCUAGGACCUCCAAACCAGCUCUCAAAAUAAAGAAAGAGAGGUCAGAGUCAAUAGAUAACUGGUUCAAGAAGUUAUGGUAUAUAUAUCCUAUGGAAU
RNAcentral lists this small nuclear RNA (313 nucleotides) under Erinaceus europaeus (western European hedgehog). RNAcentral describes it as "7SK RNA". It matches the Rfam family "7SK RNA". From Rfam's summary of the family: 7SK was discovered as an abundant small nuclear RNA in the mid-70s but a possible function has only recently been suggested. Lineage: Eukaryota; Metazoa; Chordata; Mammalia; Eulipotyphla; Erinaceidae. The record is from Rfam by way of RNAcentral.